GGCACUAACUUUAAAAUAUAGGGACUAAACGAGCUUUUACCCUUUUUUUUUUUAUCGACUCUUUAUCAACACGUGAAUUUCUGUUUAAAAAAGUUUAAAUUAUGAGAGAAUUUGAAUUUACAUUACAUAAUAUAUAAUUUUUAAGAUAAAUUAAAUUUAUGAAUUUUUAUUUAUUAUUAAAAUCAAACGUGUGCACAAAUAGAUCAUAUGACCUUUUCUAUGACAUGAAUUAAGAAAAGUCAAUAUGCACAACAAGAAGUGUUAGGCUGAUAAUUUCACAUGGCUUUAAAAAUCUUAUAGGGCACUUAUUAAUUCACCAAUGAAUUUGUGGUUCACCAACCAUUUCUUGCACCAUCUUGAAGGCUCAAAAAGAUAAAGAGCAGAUUAUAUAUGCAGCUUAAAUUUUCAACAUCUAGAAAUAUUUUUAAAAAAAGAAUACACUAGUACAGUGGCAAUCUCAUCUCCUUUCUUAAAUUUUAGUUGAUACCAUGAUGACAUAUUCUGCUUCCACGUUCAAGUAAUUAAUAGUUGGCCCUGGUAUGUUUUACAACUCUCAAAGUUAGUUGUAAAUUGAAUGAAAGCCACCGUAGUUCUGACUCCUUUUAAUACUACUUCACAUAUUUAUUUAUAUGCAUUGACUGAGAUGUCAUUGCAAAGUUCGUGAUUUUAAGGAAAUAAAUAAAAUUCAGUCUUAUUAAUUUGUUGUGGCCCAUAAGCCAAUUUAUAAAAAAAAGCCAAAAUUUAAUAGAAGUAAAUAAUCAAUAAAAUAUUUUGUGAUUCAUUUCUAUAUAUAUUUACACAUAACAGUUAUGAUUCUUAUCAUAAGUGAAUGGCAUAAUGUUCAAAGGCAACCUUCUUGUCAAUUUGUAUGUGACAAUAGUCAUUUAUGUAUUACAUAACACUCUAUUCUUCCGUAUGUAUAUGUCAUCUUAAUAGUUUUAAUCCUUACAAUGUGCAUUUGAUAAUGAUUUUGAUCAUUAUAUAUAUGUGUAGGAUCCCCCUAAGUUACAUGCAUGUAACUUAGCAUUAGCCAUAUGUGUAUCACAUAACGAUUUGAUCUGUUUCAUAAAUGCAUAUCAUAAUAGGCUUAAUUCAUAAGGGUUUUUUUUUUUUUUAAAUUCCUAUCAUUCCCUCAAGUUGGAGUGCGAAAACUUGGUUCUUCUUGCACUUUUGUUUUAAGAACAAAUUAUGUCUAUCUCUAACACACCAUCAUGCUAUGUAGCUUCUCAUCAACAUGGUGGCUCUAUAUCUAACAUAUGAUCUGAGAACUAGGGUUAAGGUGAUCUUUUCAUCUCUCAACUCAAAAUUGAUGAAGAUAUAUCAUAAUAGGAUUAUAAUUAUCUGUCCCUAUAAGAUAAAGAAGACUUAUCAUAAUAAGGUUAGAAUUAUCUACCCAUACAAGAUAAAGAAGAUAAUCGAAUUAAUUUUUAGUUAUUACCACCAGAAAAGAAAGUCCACAAAUAAAAGUGAGGAAAAGCAAAUUUAGAUAGAAAUCGACUCUAAUUAAGGAGUCCCUGUCUAAUGCACGAAGUCGCACACAUCAUCGAAAUCACUAAGUACGUACUUCAGAGCUCGAAAUCUUGAAUCCUUUGCAGUCCCUUCUCAUUAUUUCUUUAAAUUCUCUUCUUGUUUGCAAAAGCAAAAAUAAUUUUUGACUUAAACAUUGGAGUUUCACCCGAUAACGAUUAUCACGCCCUUCACUGUUUUUGUCUCAUCACCCGCCAACACCAACUUUUACACUUCGUAAAUUGUGUCCAUCACUAGACUCUAUCAAUCUGAAUCAUGGCUACGUGACCAACAAAGAUGGGAAAUCUGAACGGUAGCCAAGAUAAUUCUGAGUGGGACAUGACUCACAUGCCGAUGGGCCCAGAUCUCGUAAUGUCAUGAGCCCACUUAAUCAACUCCCACGUGGAAACACCUGUCACAUAUCCUUUAAUCGGCAGAUCGCCUUUCUCGAUCACUAUUAUUUACAGUUUAUUUUCGUACAGCGUACGAGAUCAUUGCCUCUUGUUAUCAUUAUUAACGUAAACUUCAAUUACCUAAAAUCAUAAUCUUCAAUUUAUUCUAAAAAUAUGAAUACUUUAAAUUUUUAUUCAAAUAAUGCAACCAAUUUUCAUGUAAACUGACAUUAAUCAAGAGGGUAAGGAUUUUGCACAGUUUUUAUUCAUUAUUUUUCCCUAAAAAAGAAGACCAUUUGUUGCAGUAAAUGGCACAAAAAAAAAUUAAAUUAGUUUUUAAACUAACAAAUAAAUCAAACCAAAUAGUCAAAACUCAAAAGACCAACGUUAAAGACAAAUCAUGAAGUUGAAAGUUCAGAAUAUCCUAAAAGCUCAUGCAAUAGAAAAUCUGCAUUUAUUUUCAAAUUUUUAUACUAAUAUAUUCUUAAUAUAUGUCUCUAACGUGAUCCUAAUACGGUGCCACUGCCCCCAAAAAAAGAUCCUAAUAUAUAAUACAAUUUAUACAUUGAAAAAAAAUUAAAAAAAGAAACAAAAAUGAUGGGCAGACAAUAAAUGAAAGAGACUAGACAUAAAACUGUUAUCUCUUUGUCAUUAAUUAUUGCAAAUACUAAAAUUAUGUCUGCCUCAAAUUUCGGGCAAAAGAAAGUCCCAGAGUAUACCCGAAAUAUGGUUUUCCUCAUUUACAUUUAUAACUUAGAAGCAACAGAAGUAAAGCAAAAAUAUAGCAGUGGUCUCAUAUAAUUGACUUUGCAUGUCACUUAUUUUUUAUUAUUUUAUUGGUUGUCAGUAAUAUAACGUAGAGGUUAUCUCAAAAUAUUUAUUUGUUUCUUUAUAUAAUAAUUAGGUGUACCUUUUACUCAAUUAUGUAAUAAUAAAAAUACAAACAAUGAAUAAUCAACUAACAUGAAAGUAUACACCGAAAGCAUGGAAGACUUUUUAUUUGAGCUAUGAUGUAAUUAGUAAUAUUAAUUAUUAAUAUAUCCCAUAAUUUACAGGGUAGACUCACAUGACUGGCACCUAUUAAAUUACCUGCAAUAUCAUUAAUGCAGUUGAACUAUUAAAUCCAAUUCUAAGGUGAGGCUUUUACAUUAUGAUGAUUAUAUUCUUUAAGUACGAAAUUAUACUCCAACCACCUUAAAAAUGUCAAAAGUGUAAGUAAUUACCGUGAGUUUUUAAUAAUAUUUUAAAUCCACUUUAAGUUUUAAUUUUCUAUCAACCAGUCACUUUUUUUUUAACUUUAUUAGUUACUGUUAAAGAAUUUAAGUUAAAAGAAUUUUUUCCCUUAAAUUCAUUGAAAAGGGUAAAACAACAUUUUGGAAGGCUCCAAAGACAAGAUAGCCUUUUAUAUUAAAUUAUUUAAUGGCUAAUAGAGUUAACAAAAAAAUAAUUAGUUGAUGUAAAACUAAAACUUAAGGUGGUUAUAAGAUACUGUCAGAAACUUGUGGUAUCCACUUGCACUUUCAAUAAUUUUUUUAGAUGUUUGGGAAUAAUAUCUCUUUUGAAAUUGAUUCUUUCCAUUUAUGACUAUAAUUUGAUCUUCAAUUCAUUCUAUUUCUCCAAUAUAUUCAUUUAAAAAAAAUGAAACUAUUUGAAUAUACAUUUAUUACUUUAAGUGACCGUUGGUGCAAAACACCAUGCACAAUAAAUCCUCUCUCUAGUCAUAAUAUUGGUACCAACUAUUUUUAUUAUUAUGUGGAGAUUAUAACUUAAUAGCUGUGUAGUUACAAAAAUUAUUGGUUUCACCUGGCUAUCUUUUUUUUCNN
This 3721-nucleotide long non-coding RNA is filed under the name Citrus x clementina. Its description in RNAcentral is "Citrus clementina (C. clementina) long non-coding RNA (CCLE_LNC006662)". Lineage: Eukaryota; Viridiplantae; Streptophyta; Magnoliopsida; Sapindales; Rutaceae. The record is from RNAcentral.